Molecule: ribosomal RNA, 468 nt
Filed under: uncultured bacterium
Lineage: Bacteria
Description: partial 16S ribosomal RNA
Rfam family: Bacterial small subunit ribosomal RNA
Source: RNAcentral
GACGCACGCUGGCGGCGUGCUUAACACAUGCAAGUCGAACGGAAAGGCCCUGCUUUUGUGGGGUGCUCGAGUGGCGAACGGGUGAGUAACACGUGAGUAACCUGCCCUUGACUUUGGGAUAACUUCAGGAAACUGGGGCUAAUACCGGAUAGGAGCUCCUGCUGCAUGGUGGGGGUUGGAAAGUUUCGGCGGUUGGGGAUGGACUCGCGGCUUAUCAGCUUGUUGGUGGGGUAGUGGCUUACCAAGGCUUUGACGGGUAGCCGGCCUGAGAGGGUGACCGGCCACAUUGGGACUGAGGUACGGCCCAGACUCCUACGGGAGGCAGCAGUGGGGAAUAUUGCACAAUGGGCGGAAGCCUGAUGCAGCAACGCCGCGUGCGGGAUGACGGCCUUCGGGUUGUAAACCGCUUUCGCCUGUGACGAAGCGUGAGUGACGGUAAUGGGUAAAGAAGCACCGGCUAACUACGUG